Molecule: transfer RNA, 72 nt
Filed under: bacterium
Lineage: Bacteria
Description: tRNA-Lys
Rfam family: tRNA
About the family: Transfer RNA (tRNA) molecules are approximately 80 nucleotides in length.
Source: RNAcentral
GGGCCGGUAGCUCAGCGGUAGAGCAGGAGACUUUUAAUCUCUUGGUCGUGGGUCCGAAUCCCACCCGGCUCA